This 2223-nucleotide long non-coding RNA is filed under the name Nicotiana benthamiana. RNAcentral's name for it is "long non-coding RNA (NBEN_LNC017325)". The record is from RNAcentral. Lineage: Eukaryota; Viridiplantae; Streptophyta; Magnoliopsida; Solanales; Solanaceae.
AAUGUGAGUAAGAAUAUUGAUGAAAAGGUAAAGUUUGUCUCUUUUCUUGAGAAAGAUAAUCUUCUCUAAAAAGUAUUCUUAUGAAGUGAAUAUUACAUGACCCAUCCCAUUGUCUCCUUUUCUAUUUAUAAGAAACAUGUCUCUAACAAACUCUAAUAAUACAAAAUGUAGAGAAUAUCCAAUAAAGUAUUCUCUUUAAUAUCAUAUUUCAAUCAUUAGUCGUUACUAUUCUUUACACGAUGCUCGACCUCAUCAUGGUGACAUCUCAGCCAUGAACCCUGCUGUUUUUAUCGACCUCGGCCAUCUUUUUCCUUAAUGCCAUUGUAUACGGCGAAAUCGUAGGAGCCAAUUUCUCGUUGUUAAGGCAUUUCGGAAGGUCACCUUGGAGUUUCGAGACCGCAUGCCGAGUACUCUCCCUCGAGGGUCGUCAACACUCGAACUCAGGAUAACGACGACCUCGAUAAUGGUUGUCACACCCCUUUUUUACACUUCACUAACCCUCUGAAAUUAAUAAAAAGAAUUUGUAAAUCUCAAAAAGGGGUUUUUUUAAUUAAAAGUUACGAAAUUGUGUUCAAAAGAAAAUAACUUAGAGUCGUCACCUGACAUUUGAUUUCGGUGUGUCAGGUCACCGUUUUUUUUUCUAAAAAUAAUUUUUUCCUUUCAAAAUACUUGAGACUCCAAAACUAAAUAUGCAUCAGAGAUUCGGGUAAGGGGGUUCAUUUGACUCGGAAGAAGGUGUUAGGUACUCCCCAAGUCCCGUAACUAGUAAGGUUGCGCACUUGAUCAAAUUGGUUUUUAAAUAUUCAAAUUGAGGUAAAAAUAAACGUAGAAAAGAAAAAUAAACACACAAGAGGCUUGAGGUCGCCCCUACCUAAUAUAAGAAAAAUGAAAAUAAAAAUAAAAUACUAAGAGUUUUACUUUCGGCCUCCAAAUACAAAUACUUCGGGGCAAUACCCCGGAUAAAAAUAUAUACAAAUCUUUCGAGGCAUUCCCUAGUUAAAAUUAACUAAGGGAACAACCUCUCGCUUCAAAAACUGAAAAAAUCCUAAAGUUUUCCUACUCAGAUGAUGACGGCCUAAACAUGCUCCCACCGUCCGAGUAACUAAAAUCAACAAUAAAAUAAAGCUAUGAACUAUUUAAGCUUUAGUUUCUCCUUAGUUUUGGUUAAGACUCAUGCGCCGCAACUCAAUCACGAUUCAACUAAUGACCGUUCUAGUUCUUGACAAUAUGGGUGAUAAGUUUAUAUUUAAUUUUAACUUAGUCAGCAACCCUCACAAUCUAUUAAGUUAGGAUGACCUAAAUCACCACAUCAUUAUUAUAUUAUGAUAAUAAUCUAACAAACAUUCAACCUCAAAUGAAAGAUUAACAAAACAUAUUUCCGAAACCCAAUUCAGUUUAGGUCAACCAAUCCAUAGCAAAGCACAUCAUGAAAAACAAAUUUCAACUAGGAAUAACAUCACAUAUUGUUUAUAAUGAAAUCCCAUACACAAUAUUAAGUUAAAAGAGCAAGAAAUGGACCUUUAUGAUCAAGCUUUCAAUUAAAUAGAAUCAGCCACGAAUGAAUUGCAAACGAAAAUCACUGACCGAAUUGUAUCAAAAAUCGACAUGAGACGGAGACCGCGCCAGCAACAUCGACGAACCCACGAUUAGGCAGCCUCCAAACAGAGAUUCAAAUAAAGGAUUCAAAUUGGGGUAGUUUUUCCAAAUUCAGCGUAUUUUUUAUCGCUAUUUUCCCACCUUUUCUUACGUUUCAGAUAAGUUUUUGGAACCUCUUGUUGUUGUUGUAGGUGUCUUCUAGGUUCAGGGGGUGCCGGCGACCGGUGGGUGUGAACAACAUUGGAAUGGUUUUUGUAGGUGGUGUGUCUACUAGGAGAUGGAGAGAAAGUCCAGCGGCGUGUGUAGGUUGAUAACAGCGGAGGUCUUGGAGAGGAGAUGUGGUGGGGUCGAUGGAUGGUGGUUUGUCUUAAAGCGGCAGCUACAUCGGUUGAGAGGAUUCCGGGUGGCGACUGUUGCUUGUGUCUAAGGUUAUGAAGAAGAAGAAAAUGGCUGAAGGUUCUCUUAGGUUUAGUUCCGUCUUUUCUUAAGAAGAAGCUCACGCCUUAUACCAAAAAUGUCCAUGUCUCCUCUAGGGUUCAGCCCUUGUGUCUAUUCAAGAAAAAGGAGUGGCUCCAAGUUCUACGGCUAGGUUUUUAUUUUUAAGCUUAAGUUUUUUUAGUUCAAAAA